Molecule: ribosomal RNA, 207 nt
Filed under: uncultured bacterium
Lineage: Bacteria
Description: partial 16S ribosomal RNA
Rfam family: Bacterial small subunit ribosomal RNA
Source: RNAcentral
AAUGUAGGCGGUUUAUUAAGUUUGAAGUGAAAGCCCUCGGCUCAACCGAGGAAGCGCUUCGAAAACUGGUAAACUUGAGUGCAGAAGAGGAAAGUGGAACUCCAUGUGUAGCGGUGGAGUGCGUAGAUAUAUGGAAGAACACCAGUGGCGAAGGCGGCUUUCUGGUCUGUAACUGACGCUGAGAUUCGAAAGCAUGGGUAGCAAACA